This 28-nucleotide non-coding RNA is filed under the name Mus musculus (house mouse). The record is from RNAcentral. Lineage: Eukaryota; Metazoa; Chordata; Mammalia; Rodentia; Muridae.
UGCCACACUCCCAAAACAGAGCUGCAAA